Molecule: transfer RNA, 71 nt
Filed under: Camelus bactrianus (Bactrian camel)
Lineage: Eukaryota; Metazoa; Chordata; Mammalia; Artiodactyla; Camelidae
Also listed under: 2 other names
Rfam family: tRNA
About the family: Transfer RNA (tRNA) molecules are approximately 80 nucleotides in length. Their secondary structure includes four short double-helical elements and three loops (D, anti-codon, and T loops). Further hydrogen bonds mediate the characteristic L-shaped molecular structure. tRNAs have two regions of fundamental functional importance: the anti-codon, which is responsible for specific mRNA codon recognition, and the 3' end, to which the tRNAs corresponding amino acid is attached (by aminoacyl-tRNA synthetases). tRNAs cope with the degeneracy of the genetic code in two manners: having more than one tRNA (with a specific anti-codon) for a particular amino acid; and 'wobble' base-pairing, i.e. permitting non-standard base-pairing at the 3rd anti-codon position.
Source: Rfam by way of RNAcentral
GAGGGUAUAGCUCGGUGGUAGAGCACGUGCUUAGCAUGCAUGAGGUCCGGGUUCCUCCCCCAGUACCACCA